UAAACUGAGAGUUUGAUCCUGGCUCAGAGCGAACGCUGGCGGCGUGCUUAACACAUGCAAGUCACACGGAGUUGCGGAAGGGUAACUGGAAGCAACUAAGUGGCGGACGGGUGAGUAACGCGUAGGUGACCUGCCCUUGUGCCUGGGAUAACCACUGGAAACGGUGGAUAAUACCGGAUAAGACCACGACUAGGUAAUAGCAGUGGGAAAAGGAGAAAUCUGCACAGGGAUGGGCCUGCGUCCUAUCAGGUAGUUGGUAAGGUAAAGGCUUACCAAGCCUAAGACGGGUAGCCGGUCUGAGAGGAUGGACGGCCACACUGGAACUGAGACACGGUCCAGACUCCUAC
Molecule: ribosomal RNA, 347 nt
Filed under: Nitrospirota bacterium
Lineage: Bacteria; Pseudomonadati; Nitrospirota
Description: bacterial SSU rRNA
Rfam family: Bacterial small subunit ribosomal RNA
Source: RNAcentral